RNAcentral lists this ribosomal RNA (477 nucleotides) under Streptomyces sp. Its description in RNAcentral is "bacterial SSU rRNA". It matches the Rfam family "Bacterial small subunit ribosomal RNA", at positions 22 to 512 of the family's 1533-position model. The record is from RNAcentral. Lineage: Bacteria; Bacillati; Actinomycetota; Actinomycetes; Kitasatosporales; Streptomycetaceae.
GCUCAGGACGAACGCUGGCGGCGUGCUUAACACAUGCAAGUCGAACGAUGAAGCCCUUCGGGGUGGAUUAGUGGCGAACGGGUGAGUAACACGUGGGCAAUCUGCCCUUCACUCUGGGACAAGCCCUGGAAACGGGGUCUAAUACCGGAUACCACUCCUGCCUGCAUGGGCGGGGGUUGAAAGCUCCGGCGGUGAAGGAUGAGCCCGCGGCCUAUCAGCUUGUUGGUGGGGUAAUGGCCCACCAAGGCGACGACGGGUAGCCGGCCUGAGAGGGCGACCGGCCACACUGGGACUGAGACACGGCCCAGACUCCUACGGGAGGCAGCAGUGGGGAAUAUUGCACAAUGGGCGAAAGCCUGAUGCAGCGACGCCGCGUGAGGGAUGACGGCCUUCGGGUUGUAAACCUCUUCAGCAGGGAAGAAGCGAAANNNUANGUGACGGUACCUGCAGAAGAAGCGCCGGCUAACUACUGCCAGC